AUUGAACGCUGGCGGCGUGCUUAACACAUGCAGGUCGAGCGAGAGAAAUUCCUUCGGGAAGGACUCUAGCGGCGGACGGGUGAGUAACACGUGGGUAACCUGCCUCAUAGAGGGGAAUAGCCUUUCGAAAGGAAGAUUAAUACCGCAUAAGAUUGUAGUAUCGCAUGAUGCAGCAAUUAAAGGAGUAAUCCGCUAUGAGAUGGACCCGCGUCGCAUUAGCUAGUUGGUGAGGUAACGGCUCACCAAGGCGACGAUGCGUAGCCGACCUGAAAGGGUGAUCGGCCACAUUGGGACUGAGACACGGCCCAGACUCCUACGGGAGGCAGCAGUGGGGAAUAUUGCACAAUGGGGGAAACCCUGAUGCAGCAACGCCGCGUGAGUGAUGACGGUCUUCGGAUUGUAAAACUCUGUCUUCAGGGACGAUAAUGACGGUACCUGAGGAGGAAGCCACGGCUAACUACGUGCCAGCAGCCGCAGUAA
Molecule: ribosomal RNA, 480 nt
Filed under: uncultured bacterium
Lineage: Bacteria
Description: partial 16S ribosomal RNA
Rfam family: Bacterial small subunit ribosomal RNA
Source: RNAcentral